UACGUAGGGUGCGAGCGUUAAUCGGAAUUACUGGGCGUAAAGCGUGCGCAGGCGGUUGUGCAAGACAGGGGUGAAAUCCCCGGGCUUAACCUGGGAAUGGCAUUUGUGACUGCACGGCUAGAGUGUGUCAGAGGGGGGUAGAAUUCCACGUGUAGCAGUGAAAUGCGUAGAGAUGUGGAGGAAUACCGAUGGCGAAGGCAGCCCCCUGGGAUAACACUGACGCUCAUGCACGAAAGCGUGGGGAGCAAACAGG
This 253-nucleotide ribosomal RNA is filed under the name uncultured bacterium. Its description in RNAcentral is "partial 16S ribosomal RNA". It matches the Rfam family "Bacterial small subunit ribosomal RNA", at positions 524 to 776 of the family's 1533-position model. The record is from RNAcentral.